ACUGCACCAGAAUUUAAAUUCGCAUACCAGGUUUGGUGGCACAAAUUGGAGGUCAAACAAGGUAAUUUCAAGUAGUUUUAAGCUUUGAAGCAAUGGAGGGACACAAAAGGAACCUAGGAGAGGCACUAGAUCAGAUUAAACACGCAAGAAAAAGCAAAAUCGAAGAGCCAAAAGUAGCGCAGUAAACUGUUUGAUAAUUUUGCAAACUGUUUGAUGAAAGUCCCCAAUGAGCUUCGGAUUUAGUGAUUUUCGGGUUUUGGGGUUCAAAACUGGAUUGCAUGGUUUUCUUUUGCUUUUUAUGAUUGGAUUAUACUUCUUGGAUCAUAUAAUUCCAUAUGGAAACAUGUAACCAGCUCUUGCCAAUCCAGAAUUGAAAAUUAAAGAUUGCACAAAACCAAACAGCACUAAAAGUGAAAACUGCACCAGAAAAAUGGCUUUAAAAGUGUGCUUUCAGACCCAAAAAUGAGUGACAGUGUUUGGAAAGGUUAAUUGAUGGUCCACGCAAGUUUAUAUCAUCAACUUGAAGGUGUACAAACACUCAAACAGCAAAGGAAUACACUGCAGCAAAAAUUCACUAGUUGACUUCCAAAUUUAGGCAAAAUUUAUGGUUUAGGAAGUGAUUUUGCGUAGUAGCACAAUUUUGACCAAAUGAACAGUGCACACAAGUUUGGAAUGGUAAAAUAAACUUGCUCAAAUGUGAAGAAAGCACUGAAACAUUCAGAUUCAUCAAAACAUAGCUGCAGUUGCUAAAAAUGCAGAAAUUGCACUAAAAAUGGUGGUUGUAAAGCUGAAACAGCAGUGGUCAACUUGAGAUGCAAUGAACCAGAUGUUCAACUAACAUAUCAAACACAUUUAUAUCCACAUAUGGAAUGGUUGCAGAUAGUUAAACAGCAAAGGCAAAGGCUGAAUCAAAUUUUCACUGGUUCACUUCCAAAAUUGAGCAAAAUUUGAUGGUUUGGAUGGUGUUUUUUUUUCGGUUAGGUGCAUAAAUGACCAUAUGAACAGUAAAAGCAUGUUUUAAUGCACCAAAUAUACUUGCAGCAACAUGUAAACAACACGGAAAAUGCCAGAAUCAAUAAUUCACACCGGCUGUCAUAAAAAAUGCAGCAAAAAGACACCUAAAUAGCACCAGAAUUGAGAAAUGAGUGGAAUCAAAGCUGGAUGCCUCAAUCAAAUCAUAAGAAAGUCCUAAAUGACUAAAUCUAGCUUCAGAAUAUAAGCUAGCAACUGUUAAUUGACCUAAGACAUUACAAGGAUACAAGCACGGUGCAUAAGCUUUUGAAGAAAACAGAAACAGGUUCAGGAAAACCAAUUUUUAGGAACUCAACCACUCUUUUUGAGAUUCAGUGGUGAAUUCUAAUUGCUAAAACUUGAAACAUGUUUAAAUGCAUCAAAUAAACGUGUCUAAAGCAUUAGGUUCAAUAAUUCUGGACAGACACGGUGUGAUAUGAUCAAACCAGAAAUGAAUUGGAUGCAGAAUUUUUUUUUUGUAACAGUGAAACGUGAUUUCAAUGCUUCAGCUCAUGUGAUCAAAGCUAGCCAAUGUGUCUUGUUGCUUUAUAUGAUCAAAGAGGAGCUAUCACUGCACUGAACACAAUAAAAAAAUCGAAAAAGUAAAGCUGAAACAGAAUCAAAACAUACGGACAGAGUAAAACGGCAAAGGAAAAUGCACAUGACCGUGGACAUGACUGAAUUUUGAAAUACAAGUUGGAAUAAAUUGAAACAAAAGGAAUGCACCGAUUAAAAUGAUGGAAAAACACUAAAGAACAAGUGAAUGAUCUAAAUUAUCCACAGAAACACAAAAUUAAAUCAAAACAAUGACGAAAAAAAAAAUUCAAAGCAAUGAUAGAAUGGAACAGUACAUGACAGGAUGUGAAUAUUGAAGGAAAUGUGACUUAUCUCAAGCAGAACCGCGUGGACGUGCUGGCUUUGACUACCAAAUGAUAGAA
RNAcentral lists this long non-coding RNA (1949 nucleotides) under Vigna radiata. Its description in RNAcentral is "long non-coding RNA (VRAD_LNC009847)". Lineage: Eukaryota; Viridiplantae; Streptophyta; Magnoliopsida; Fabales; Fabaceae. The record is from RNAcentral.